This 228-nucleotide long non-coding RNA is filed under the name Vigna radiata. RNAcentral's name for it is "long non-coding RNA (VRAD_LNC008900)". Lineage: Eukaryota; Viridiplantae; Streptophyta; Magnoliopsida; Fabales; Fabaceae. The record is from RNAcentral.
GCCAGCUAAUUUUUCUUUUAUCUUUCUCUGAUCGUUUCUUUCUUUUGAAUUUAAUUUCAGGUCUUUUCUUUCCUUUUACUCUCUUUUCCUGAUUUUUUUUUUUCAUUUCUAGACCUGUUCUUUCUUUUUCAACCACACCAUAUUUUUCAGCACAUUUUUUUUUUCACCUCUGGCCUCACUCUUUUCCUGCACUCAACAAGUUCCAGAAUUCUCUCUAAAUCUCACAAG